UAUUCUGAGCCUUCAAAAUUGAAAUUAUUUUAUAUUUUGGAGUAAUACUUGAUGUUCUAAUGGUAUGAGAACAUUGAGAUUCCACUUGCUUUCUGGGUUGCCGCUUUUAUGUCAUAGCUUCGUGCUUCUUACUCCUGAAGAUGUCCCAAACUGGGGACGGAAUAUAGAGUAUGAAAACGAAUUGACCUUCAUUUCGCCCUACCAAUAAAACCUAUAUUUCUUCUUCAGGAAGAAGUCAAUAUAUAUAUAUAAAUAUAGCUUUAAUACAA
Molecule: long non-coding RNA, 269 nt
Organism: Coccinella septempunctata (seven-spotted ladybird)
Lineage: Eukaryota; Metazoa; Arthropoda; Insecta; Coleoptera; Coccinellidae
Exons: 2
Source: RefSeq, a predicted model, not a curated record